GAUGAAGAACGUAGCGAAAUGCGAUAAGUAAUGUGAAUUGCAGAAUUCAGUGAAUCAUCGAAUCUUUGAACGCACAUUGCGCCCGCCAGUAUUCUGGCGGGCAUGCCUGUUCGAGCGUCAUUUCAACCCUCAGGCCCCCAGUGCCUGGUGUUGGGGAUCGGCCCAGCCUUCCUGUAAGGCCGCCGGCCCCGAAAUCUAGUGGCGGUCUCGCUGUAGUCCUCCUCUGCGUAGUAGCACAACCUCGCAGUUGGAACGCGGCGGUGGCCAUACCGUUAAACACCCCACUUCUGAAAGUUGACCUCGGAUCAGGUAGGAAUACCCGCUGAACUUAAGCAUAUCAAUAAGCGGAGGA
RNAcentral lists this unclassified non-coding RNA (352 nucleotides) under soil metagenome. Its description in RNAcentral is "partial contains 5.8S ribosomal RNA, internal transcribed spacer 2, and large subunit ribosomal RNA". The stretch from base 1 to 120 matches the Rfam family "5.8S ribosomal RNA", at positions 35 to 154 of the family's 154-position model. The record is from RNAcentral.